Molecule: non-coding RNA, 1303 nt
Organism: Mus caroli (Ryukyu mouse)
Lineage: Eukaryota; Metazoa; Chordata; Mammalia; Rodentia; Muridae
Source: RefSeq, a predicted model, not a curated record
CAGAAACUAGAAAAACUUUGCCUGAGACUAUGGGCCCACUAUGGGCCCUGAGCAGAGGUAAGCCCAAGAGAAACGACCCUGCACAUUCCUGGUUUGCUUUCUAGGAAGAAUCAGACCCUCCUGAAGCUAAGCUCAUCUCACGGUGGCCCUUGGGACUUGGUGGUCACACUGAAGCCAACGCAUCCCAAAGGCCUCUGAGACCAGGUCUCCUUUUAGGUGGGCUUCUUCUGGUCCCUUCUUAGGAACUCGGCCCUCUGCUCUGUCCUUUUCACAGAGGUUACUUUGAAACGAUAACACCGCACAUAGCUUCAGACCCCAACAGGGACAACCCUGACGUGGAGAAUUGUCAGAAGUGACCAAGUCUUUGAGAGAUUCUUAAUUCACAAGUGAUGCUCUGGUCAAGUGGUCAGGGCUUCAUUCACACCUGGCAGGACUGGCAGAGAUGGCUCAGUCUGGCUUGCAAGAACUGACUGUGCACCUCCUGCUCUCAGACUGGCAGCUUGAAGUCAGCCACGUGGGGGCAUUGUAACCCAGGGAUUGCUGGGUGCUGUAAGAGUCAGUUCCGGGUUCAGCACCAACGCACCUGCUAGAAAUGAGGACCCAGGAGGCCAAGAGCAUUUCAGGGCCAGCAGCAUCAUGGUUGGGAUGUGCUAAGAAGGACUUCCCAGAAAGGUUUGAGUCGGACUUCCAGCCACCAACACAUUCAAAUGAGCACUGUGUUCUAAGAAGCCCCGAGGCCAGUUGGAAGAUGUACCAGUUCCCUUCAGUGGGCCCCCAGCUGACCUAUCGCACCGUUUUGGCUCCUCUGCUGUCAACCUUGACUUCCAGCCUAGACUUCCUCCUCUGAGAAGGCCAAGGUCCUAGGAAUGGAGAUUAGGUGACUUCUUGAACAGAAUUCAGCUGGUUUCAAUGUGGGGAUUAACGUAACCCAAGUGAGCAAUCUACUCUUCUGCAUGGAGAAUACUCUCAGGUGCGUUGUCUAGACGAGUUGUCUCCAGAUAGAGCCGUUCCACACAGAAGGGAGCCGGAAGGAUCGCCACACAAGGGAAAAUACAGACCUCCCAGUAACCCCCUGUGGGUGGAGCUAUAGACUCAAUAAACACUGGCCUGGCAGAGGAGACUUCUCGGUGGAGCUGCUUCCAGGUUGUGCCGGAGACUUGGGAGUACAGCCUUUCUGAGUGCUCACCUACGCCAACGGGGCGGCAGGGCUUUAUGGUUAUGCAACGGUUCAUGUUAUGUAGCGGCCUGUGAGUAACCUCCCAUCCAUGCUCCUGUCGCCGACCCCAAUAAAUUCGUCGGUUCA